CCUACGGGUGGCAGCAGUGAGGAAUAUUGGUCAAUGGGCGCGAGCCUGAACCAGCCAAGUAGCGUGAAGGAUGACUGCCCUACGGGUUGUAAACUUCUUUUAUGAGGGGAUAAAGUGAGGCACGUGUGCCUUUUUGUAUGUACUUUAUGAAUAAGGAUCGGCUAACUCCGUGCCAGCAGCCGCGGUAAUACGGAGGGUCCGGGCGUUAUCCGGAUUUAUUGGGUUUAAGGGGAGCGUAGAUGGGUUGUUAAGUCAGUUGUGAAAGUUUGCGGCUCAACCGUAAAAUUGCAAUUGAUACUGGCAGGCUUGAGUACAGUUGAGGUAGGCGGAAUUCGUGGUGUAGCGGUGAAAUGCUUAGAUAUCACGAAGAACUCCGAUUGCGAAGGCAGCUUACUAAACUGCCACUGACAUUGAUGCUCGAAAGUGUGGGUAUCAAACAGGAUUAGAUACCCCAGUAGUC
Molecule: ribosomal RNA, 460 nt
Filed under: uncultured bacterium
Lineage: Bacteria
Description: partial 16S ribosomal RNA
Rfam family: Bacterial small subunit ribosomal RNA
Source: RNAcentral